RNAcentral lists this ribosomal RNA (483 nucleotides) under uncultured Flavobacteriaceae bacterium. Its description in RNAcentral is "bacterial SSU rRNA". It matches the Rfam family "Bacterial small subunit ribosomal RNA", at positions 28 to 505 of the family's 1533-position model. Lineage: Bacteria; Pseudomonadati; Bacteroidota; Flavobacteriia; Flavobacteriales; Flavobacteriaceae. The record is from RNAcentral.
GAUGAACGCUAGCGGCAGGCCUAACACAUGCAAGUCGAACGGUAACAGCAGAGCUUGCUCUGGCUGACGAGUGGCGCACGGGUGCGUAACGCGUAUACAAUCUACCUUUUACAGGGGGAUAGCCUUUAGAAAUGAAGAAUAAUACCCCAUAGUAUUUUCAAGUCGCAUGAUUUUGGGAAUUAAAGAUUUAUCGGUAAGAGAUGAGUAUGCGUUCUAUUAGCUAGUAGGUAAGGUAACGGCUUACCUAGGCAACGAUAGAUAGGGGCCCUGAGAGGGGGAUCCCCCACACUGGUACUGAGACACGGACCAGACUCCUACGGGAGGCAGCAGUGAGGAAUAUUGGACAAUGGGCGGAAGCCUGAUCCAGCCAUGCCGCGUGCAGGAAGACUGCCCUACGGGUUGUAAACUGCUUUUAUACAGGAAGAAACCUAUGUACGUGUACAUAGCUGACGGUACUGUAAGAAUAAGGAUCGGCUAACUCCG